Molecule: ribosomal RNA, 330 nt
Filed under: uncultured Cenococcum
Lineage: Eukaryota; Fungi; Ascomycota; Dothideomycetes; Gloniales; Gloniaceae
Description: eukaryotic LSU rRNA
Rfam family: Eukaryotic large subunit ribosomal RNA
Source: RNAcentral
UUGACCUCGGAUCAGGCAGGGAUACCCGCUGAACUUAAGCAUAUCAAUAAGCGGAGGAAAAGAAACCAACAGGGAUUGCCUCAGUAACGGCGAGUGAAGCGGCAACAGCUCAAAUUUGAAAUCUGGCUCUUUUAGGGUCCGAGUUGUAAUUUGUAGAGGAUGCUUCGGCGUCGGCUCCGGUCUAAGUUCCUUGGAACAGGACGUCAUAGAGGGUGAGAAUCCCGUAUGUGAUCGGUUGCCCUUGCCAUGUGAAGCUCCUUCGACGAGUCGAGUUGUUUGGGAAUGCAGCUCUAAAUGGGAGGUAAAUUUCUUCUAAAGCUAAAUACUGGC